AUUGAACGCUGGCGGCAGGCUUAAGACAUGCAAGUCGAACGGUAACGACACUAGCUUGCUAGUGGUCGACGAGUGGCGGACGGGUGAGUAACGCGUAGGAAUCUACCUAGUAGUGGGGGAUAGCCAAGGGAAACUUUGGGUAAUACCGCAUACGAUCUAAGGAUGAAAGGGGGCCUCUCUUUGAAGCUCUCGCUAUUAGAUGAGCCUGCGUAAGAUUAGCUUGUUGGUGGGGUAAUGGCCCACCAAGGCGACGAUCUUUAGCUGGUCUGAGAGGAUGAUCAGUCACACUGGAACUGAGACACGGUCCAGACUCCUACGGGAGGCAGCAGUCGGGAAUAUUGGACAAUGGGGGAAACCCUGAUCAGCCAUGCCGCGUGUGUGAAGAAGGCCCUAGGGUUGUAAAGCACUUUUAGUAGUGAGGAAGGCUCAGUAGUUAAUACCUACUGGGAUG
Molecule: ribosomal RNA, 451 nt
Filed under: uncultured Gammaproteobacteria bacterium
Lineage: Bacteria; Pseudomonadati; Pseudomonadota; Gammaproteobacteria
Description: bacterial SSU rRNA
Rfam family: Bacterial small subunit ribosomal RNA
Source: RNAcentral